This 751-nucleotide long non-coding RNA is filed under the name Musa acuminata (dwarf banana). Its description in RNAcentral is "long non-coding RNA (MACU_LNC006608)". Lineage: Eukaryota; Viridiplantae; Streptophyta; Magnoliopsida; Zingiberales; Musaceae. The record is from RNAcentral.
AUCGAUGACUCCAAAGCAUGAAAACGAUCGGUUCAGUUCAUCUUCCCCUCUCUUCUUCGGUCCUCAUUCGCUCAGUGCAUUGCAGACUCUACCUCCUACAUGCUUAGGUUAGAUGGAUCUAUGAGGUAGAUGAUGACGACGACGACCGUGUUCAUGAAAGUUGUUCUUGCCCCAUGGUGUGUUCUCUGUGGCCUCUACAUACCAGGCUGAAUUGGAGCUCAGAGCUUGGAAGCAUGAUGAAGACCUGAACCAGCAAGUAUGACAAGCUUGUCUCCUUGUGGAACGUUGAGUGCGUGCAUCAGCUUCACACAUCACUGCAGCUCAUCUGUUUGAUGAACCCGCUUCACAAUGACCAGGUUAGGAUGUUCUCCAGAGGCUUAGGAGGAUUCUUAGAGCCAUGCCAUCUUGUUAUGCAUGACAUUAAAGUAAUGGAUACAUACAUGGUGCAUUAUAGUUGGAUCAUCCGACCUAUUUGAUAGACUCUACCACCGCCCACGAGAAAAAGACCAGUUCCUUGUUCAUCCUGAUGUCUACUAUAAACUGCUACUUUAUCAUGAAAACCGUGUUUUCAUAAGAAUGUUUGGUUGCAAGUUGGUGAAUGUUGAUCUCUAUGGUGCUUGCAGCUUGUAACAUGAAGUAUUUUAUUGUCCUCACAUGCAUGACAUCAGAAUCAUUGCCUCCUCAGAAUCUAGCAGAUAAGACUUCAUACUCAUACUUCAGCUACGUUAGAUUAGAUGUUGAAAAUCAAGAU